UAGUUACGGUUUGUUAUUAUUGCAUGCGACUGUAUUUAUGUUUCUUAUGUUUACAUAAUUAUUUACGUUAUUUCUGCGGGAUUUACUAAUGCUCUAUUAUUUUGUUUUGUCUUGUUUUUGUUUCUAAUUUCGUCUUUGUUUUUGUUUUUGUUUUUGUUUUAAUGCAGCUUUCAUUUUAUCCUAUGCGCCGAGGGUCGAAUGGAAACAGCCUCUCUACUCUUUCGGGUAGGGGUAAGGCUCGUCUACAUAUUACCCUCCCCAGACCCCACCUGGUGGGAGUAUACUGGG
This 288-nucleotide long non-coding RNA is filed under the name Nicotiana benthamiana. RNAcentral's name for it is "long non-coding RNA (NBEN_LNC025084)". The record is from RNAcentral. Lineage: Eukaryota; Viridiplantae; Streptophyta; Magnoliopsida; Solanales; Solanaceae.